UAUUUCGGUAGUUUAAAAAGAAUGUGACUUUGAAGCAGUUAUGGUGGAUUGCCCCCUGAAAUAG
Molecule: transfer RNA, 64 nt
Filed under: Marcia hiantina
Lineage: Eukaryota; Metazoa; Mollusca; Bivalvia; Venerida; Veneridae
Description: tRNA-Phe
Source: RNAcentral